Molecule: ribosomal RNA, 497 nt
Filed under: uncultured bacterium
Lineage: Bacteria
Description: partial 16S ribosomal RNA
Rfam family: Bacterial small subunit ribosomal RNA
Source: RNAcentral
GAUGAACGCUGGCGGCGUGCCUAAUACAUGCAAGUCGAGCGAACAGACGAGGAGCUUGCUCCUCUGACGUUAGCGGCGGACGGGUGAGUAACACGUGGAUAACCUACCUAUAAGACUGGGAUAACUUCGGGAAACCGGAGCUAAUACCGGAUAAUAUAUUGAACCGCAUGGUUCAAUAGUGAAAGACGGUUUUGCUGUCACUUAUAGAUGGAUCCGCGCCGCAUUAGCUAGUUGGUAAGGUAACGGCUUACCAAGGCGACGAUGCGUAGCCGACCUGAGAGGGUGAUCGGCCACACUGGAACUGAGACAGGGUCCAGACUCCUACGGGAGGCAGCAGUAGGGAAUCGUCCGCAAUGGGCGAAAGCCUGGCGGAGCAACGCCGCGUGAGUGAUGAAGGUCUUCGGAUCGUAAAACUCUGUUAUUAGGGAAGAACAAAUGUGUAAGUAACUAUGCACGUCUUGACGGUACCUAAUCAGAAAGCCACGGCUAACUACGUG